UAGGAUGAACGCUAGCUACAGGCUUAACACAUGCAAGUCGAGGGGCAGCAUGGUCUUAGCUUGCUAAGGCCGAUGGCGACCGGCGCACGGGUGAGUAACACGUAUCCAACCUGCCGUCUACUCUUGGACAGCCUUCUGAAAGGAAGAUUAAUACAAGAUGGCAUCAUGAGUCCGCAUGUUCACAUGAUUAAAGGUAUUCCGGUAGACGAUGGGGAUGCGUUCCAUUAGAUAGUAGGCGGGGUAACGGCCCACCUAGUCUUCGAUGGAUAGGGGUUCUGAGAGGAAGGUCCCCCACAUUGGAACUGAGACACGGUCCAAACUCCUACGGGAGGCAGCAGUGAGGAAUAUUGGUCAAUGGGCGAGAGCCUGAACCAGCCAAGUAGCGUGAAGGAUGACUGCCCUAUGGGUUGUAAACUUCUUUUAUAAAGGAAUAAAGUCGGGUAUGCAUACCCGUUUGCAUGUACUUUAUGAAUAAGGAUCGGCUAACUCCGUGCCAGCAGCCGCGGUAAUACGGAGGAUCCGAGCGUUAUCCGGAUUUAUUGGGUUUAAAGGGAGCGUAGAUGGAUGUUUAAGUCAGUUGUGAAAGUUUGCGGCUCAACCGUAAAAUUGCAGUUGAUACUGGAUAUCUUGAGUGCAGUUGAGGCAGGCGGAAUUCGUGGUGUAGCGGUGAAAUGCUUAGAUAUCACGAAGAACUCCGAUUGCGAAGGCAGCCUGCUAAGCUGCAACUGACAUUGAGGCUCGAAAGUGUGGGUAUCAAACAGGAUUAGAUACCCUGGUAGUCCACACGGUAAACGAUGAAUACUCGCUGUUUGCGAUAUACAGCAAGCGGCCAAGCGAAAGCGUUAAGUAUUCCACCUGGGGAGUACGCCGGCAACGGUGAAACUCAAAGGAAUUGACGGGGGCCCGCACAAGCGGAGGAACAUGUGGUUUAAUUCGAUGAUACGCGAGGAACCUUACCCGGGCUUAAAUUGCAGAUGAAUUACGGUGAAAGCCGUAAGCCGCAAGGCAUCUGUGAAGGUGCUGCAUGGUUGUCGUCAGCUCGUGCCGUGAGGUGUCGGCUUAAGUGCCAUAACGAGCGCAACCCUUGUUGUCAGUUACUAACAGGUUCCGCUGAGGACUCUGACAAGACUGCCAUCGUAAGAUGUGAGGAAGGUGGGGAUGACGUCAAAUCAGCACGGCCCUUACGUCCGGGGCUACACACGUGUUACAAUGGGGGGUACAGAGGGCCGCUACCACGCGAGUGGAUGCCAAUCCCAAAAACCUCUCUCAGUUCGGACUGGAGUCUGCAACCCGACUCCACGAAGCUGGAUUCGCUAGUAAUCGCGCAUCAGCCACGGCGCGGUGAAUACGUUCCCGGGCCUUGUACACACCGCCCGUCAAGCCAUGGGAGCCGGGGGUACCUGAAGUGCGUAACCGCGAGGAGCGCCCUAGG
This 1432-nucleotide ribosomal RNA is filed under the name uncultured organism. RNAcentral's name for it is "SSU rRNA". It matches the Rfam family "Bacterial small subunit ribosomal RNA". The record is from RNAcentral.